RNAcentral lists this ribosomal RNA (466 nucleotides) under Vreelandella stevensii. RNAcentral's name for it is "partial 16S ribosomal RNA". It matches the Rfam family "Bacterial small subunit ribosomal RNA", at positions 338 to 795 of the family's 1533-position model. Lineage: Bacteria; Pseudomonadati; Pseudomonadota; Gammaproteobacteria; Oceanospirillales; Halomonadaceae. The record is from RNAcentral.
CCUACGGGGUGCAGCAGUGGGGAAUAUUGGACAAUGGGCGAAAGCCUGAUCCAGCCAUGCCGCGUGUGUGAAGAAGGCCUUCGGGUUGUAAAGCACUUUCAGUGGGGAAGAAAGCCUUGGGGCUAAUACCCUCGAGGAAGGACAUCACCCACAGAAGAAGCACCGGCUAACUCCGUGCCAGCAGCCGCGGUAAUACGGAGGGUGCGAGCGUUAAUCGGAAUUACUGGGCGUAAAGCGCGCGUAGGCGGUCUGAUAAGCCGGUUGUGAAAGCCCCGGGCUCAACCUGGGAACGGCAUCCGGAACUGUCAGGCUAGAGUGCAGGAGAGGAAGGUAGAAUUCCCGGUGUAGCGGUGAAAUGCGUAGAGAUCGGGAGGAAUACCAGUGGCGAAGGCGGCCUUCUGGACUGACACUGACGCUGAGGUGCGAAAGCGUGGGUAGCAAACAGGAUUAGAUUACCCUAGUAGUC